RNAcentral lists this long non-coding RNA (350 nucleotides) under Rosa chinensis. RNAcentral describes it as "sRNA RchiOBHm_Chr6g0286571". The record is from RNAcentral. Lineage: Eukaryota; Viridiplantae; Streptophyta; Magnoliopsida; Rosales; Rosaceae.
GGGAGGAAGCUGCGGUGGCUCGGGGGGAGCUCUAGUGGAGACGUGGAGCAGAGGCGCGGUGGGGAGAGCGAAUACGGUCUAUUUGCAGUUUUGGGGAUUGAAUGGUUUGGGGAGAAAAUAUAGUUGUUUUGGAGUUUAUGUCUCACAAAAAGAAAACCGCCUAAUCGGCAAGACCACCCAGACGGACGCCCAGGCAGCCCAGUCGGACGCCCAGACCGCCUAGGCAGCCGCCUAAUUCCCCGCCUAAGUCCACUGAUCAACCCUUACUCACCUCGGUCUGCUGCCGCCCAGUGCCUAGGCGGCCUCUUUUAGAACACUGAUUAUAACUAAUUUUUUAUUUAAUGGGUGGA